AUUGAACGCUGGCGGCAGGCCUAACACAUGCAAGUCGAACGAGUGGCGGACGGGUGAGUAAUGUCUGGGAAACUGCCUGAUGGAGGGGGAUACCUACUGGAAACGGUAGCUAAUACCGCAUACCAUCAGAUGUGCCCAGAUGGGAUUAGCUAGUUGGGGGGGUAACGGCUACCCAAGGCGACGAUCCCUAGCUGGUCUGAGAGGAUGCCCAGCCACACUGGAACGGAGACACGGUCCAGACUCCUACGGUAGGCAGCAGGGGGGAAUAUUGCACAAGGGGCGCAAGCCUGAUGCAGCCAUGCCGCGUGGAUGAAGAAGGCCUUCGGGUUGUAAAGUACUUUCAGCGGGGAGGCGUUACCCGCAGAAGAAGCACCGGCUAACUCCGUGCCAGCAGCCGCGGUAAUUC
RNAcentral lists this ribosomal RNA (406 nucleotides) under uncultured bacterium. RNAcentral's name for it is "partial 16S ribosomal RNA". It matches the Rfam family "Bacterial small subunit ribosomal RNA", at positions 30 to 526 of the family's 1533-position model. The record is from RNAcentral.